RNAcentral lists this ribosomal RNA (275 nucleotides) under uncultured prokaryote. RNAcentral's name for it is "partial 16S ribosomal RNA". It matches the Rfam family "Bacterial small subunit ribosomal RNA", at positions 524 to 798 of the family's 1533-position model. The record is from RNAcentral.
UACGUAGGUGGCGAGCGUUAUCCGGAUUUACUGGGUGUAAAGGGUGCGUAGGCGGCCCUGUAAGUCAGGUGUGAAAUCCCACGGCUCAACCGUGGAACUGCGCUUGAAACUACAGGGCUUGAGGGAGAUAGGGGUGAGCGGAACUGAUGGUGGAGCGGUGAAAUGCGUUGAUAUCAUCAGGAACACCGGUGGCGAAGGCGGCUCACUGGGUCUCUUCUGACGCUGAGGCACGAAAGCUAGGGGAGCGAACGGGAUUAGAUACCCGGGUAGUCCCU